GAUGAACGCUGGCGGCGUGCCUAAUACAUGCAAGUCGAGCGAACAGACGAGGAGCUUGCUCCUUCGACGUUAGCGGCGGACGGGUGGGUAACACGUAGGUAACCUACCUAUAAGACUGGGAUAACUUCGGGAAACCGGAGCUAAUACCGGAUAAUAUUUCGAACCGCAUGGUUCGAUAGUGAAAGAUGGCUUUGCUAUCACUUAUAGAUGGACCUGCGCCGUAUUAGCUAGUUGGUAAGGUAACGGCUUACCAAGGCAACGAUACGUAGCCGACCUGAGAGGGUGAUCGGCCACACUGGAACUGAGACACGGUCCAGACUCCUACGGGAGGCAGCAGUAGGGAAUCUUCCGCAAUGGGCGAAAGCCUGACGGAGCAACGCCGCGUGAGUGAUGAAGGUCUUCGGAUCGUAAAACUCUGUUAUUAGGGAAGAACAAACGUGUAAGUAACUGUGCACGUCUUGACGGUACCUAAUCAGAAAGCCACGGCUAACUACGUG
This 497-nucleotide ribosomal RNA is filed under the name uncultured bacterium. RNAcentral's name for it is "partial 16S ribosomal RNA". It matches the Rfam family "Bacterial small subunit ribosomal RNA", at positions 28 to 507 of the family's 1533-position model. The record is from RNAcentral.